This 888-nucleotide long non-coding RNA is filed under the name Mus musculus (house mouse). RNAcentral describes it as "predicted gene 29154, transcript variant 7 (Gm29154)". The record is from RNAcentral. Lineage: Eukaryota; Metazoa; Chordata; Mammalia; Rodentia; Muridae.
UGAACAUUCCAGGCUCUGUGAACUAAGUGACUGAAGCUGAUUGACACAGGUCAAGGGGACUUCAAGGAAGAAAGCCAGCCUUAGACUGACAUCAGAGAACCAAACUCCGGUGUCUAAGCUCAAGAGGUUAGAAUCCUGAGAACUGUUUGGAAUAAGGAAUCCAAAUAUUGUCUUCCAGCUUCACCUUGUCACGACAGUCCUCGCCAGGGACAGCUGAGACCUCUUCUCUGCCUCCCAGCUCCCAUGGCGCCUCUCUCGAUACGUGGCCUCUUCUGAUACUUACCUCAGCUUGGACACAGCUCUCUGAAGAUCAUCUACAUCUCCAUUUAUGCCGUGUGCACGCAGUACCAACAGAGGUCAGAGGAGGGUGUCGGAUCCCCUGGAACUGGAGUCACAGAUUCUUCCUUGCGUGGAUGAAACAGUCCCAACGAACACUUUAAAAAGACAAAUGUUCCCGACAGCACUGGUUGAAUUCAAAACUCGGCAGAUCCAUGUUCUUAUCCUUAGACAAGAGAGGGGCCAUAACAAGAUGGAAUGACGGAACAGACGUGAGAGAUGAUGGUACAGUGACUCGGGUAACCCCAGAAAAGGGACAGCUCUUCUACAGCUCAGUGGGGACAGGGACAAAAAGAAACAAUUUCAUUUCAGUCCACCCAGAGGGUCUGCACUUCUCGGAGCCAGAAGGUGGAGAAGAGUAGGGAUGGAGGAAGUUCGAAGUUUUAGGAGUCUGCUCUUGGGUCCCUAGGCAUGAGGACAAGCUUUUCCUGUACUCAAUGCUCAUCUCUCAGUUGUGCCCACAUUGGUACACAUUACUUGCUUUCAACUGCUGCUGCUGCUGUUUCCUAAUUCAAUAAAGAUAUGGCUGGCUCAGCAGAGAGCUGUCAUCCA